CAUUAGAUGGCUGAAAGUAAGCAAUGGAAUUUUAAACCGUGGAUAGUACAAUAACGAAUAUUUCUAAUGA
This 70-nucleotide transfer RNA is filed under the name Ophraella sp. BMNH 704472. RNAcentral describes it as "tRNA-Lys". Lineage: Eukaryota; Metazoa; Arthropoda; Insecta; Coleoptera; Chrysomelidae. The record is from RNAcentral.